AGGACGAACGCUGGCGGCGUGGAUUAGGCAUGCAAGUUGAGCGACGGAUAGGCUUCGGCCUAUUACGGAGCAGCGAACGGGUGAGUAACACGUGAACAAUCUGUCCCUUCAUUCCGGAUAAUUGGUCGAAAGGCCUUGUAAUACGGGCGAGGGUCCUCGGGAGGCAUCUUUUGAGGAAGGAAGGCGCAAGCCGUGCAGGGAGGAGUUCGCGGCCUAUCAGUUAGUUGGCGGGGUAAUGGCCUACCAAGACGACGACGGGUAGCUGGUCUGAGAGGAUGGUCAGCCACAUUGGAACUGAGACACUGUCCAGACUCCUACGGGAGCUGCAGU
This 330-nucleotide ribosomal RNA is filed under the name uncultured soil bacterium. RNAcentral's name for it is "bacterial SSU rRNA". It matches the Rfam family "Bacterial small subunit ribosomal RNA", at positions 26 to 355 of the family's 1533-position model. The record is from RNAcentral.